AUGAUCGAGUCUUACGGUUGUCGCUGGCCUCUCGGGGCAUGUGCACGCCUGGCUCAUUUCCAUCCUUCACACCUCUGUGCACUUUCCCAUGGGUCGACAUGAUUCGGAAGUCUCGAGAGAGACGACUGGAUUUUUUUGGCCUGUGUGUUCUACAACAUACACCUGUCUGUCUCAGAAUGUAUACUUGUCAUGCAUGAAUGCAUAUAAUACAACUUUCAACAACGGAUCUCUUGGCUCUCGCAUCGAUGAAGAACGCAGCGAAAUGCGAUAAGUAAUGUGAAUUGCAGAAUUCAGUGAAUCAUCGAAUCUUUGAACGCACCUUGCGCUCCUUGGUAUUCCGAGGAGCAUGCCUGUUUGAGUGUCAUGGUAUUCUCAACCCUCCUGUGGUUUUUGUUUUCGCAAAGUCUGCAGGUUUGGGAUUGGACUUGGAGGUUUUAUUGCCGGGCUUCCUCUUUCGAAGCUUGGCUCCUCUGAAAUGCAUUAGCUUGAAUGAUUUUUACCCAAGCAUGAUCCAGCGUGAUAAUUGUCUACGCUGCCUCAUCGUGGUGAAACAACCUUGGUUGUUUUCGUUCAGGCUUCGAACCGUCUCCUCCGGAGACAAACUCAUCUGAACAUCUGACCUCAAAUCAGGUAGGACUACCCGCUGAACUUAAGCAUAUCAU
This 662-nucleotide ribosomal RNA is filed under the name Antrodiella hoehnelii. RNAcentral's name for it is "eukaryotic LSU rRNA". The stretch from base 211 to 364 matches the Rfam family "5.8S ribosomal RNA". The record is from RNAcentral. Lineage: Eukaryota; Fungi; Basidiomycota; Agaricomycetes; Polyporales; Steccherinaceae.